Molecule: long non-coding RNA, 2961 nt
Organism: Mustela lutreola (European mink)
Lineage: Eukaryota; Metazoa; Chordata; Mammalia; Carnivora; Mustelidae
Exons: 4
Source: RefSeq, a predicted model, not a curated record
UACUCCGGUGGUUGUGAAAUGGUGACUCUGUCCUGAUUUGCCAGAUGGGGGAAACUCUCGUGCUCUCUUUUAUUGUUCUCUCCUUAAAAAAGCAACUUGCACAGGGAAGAUGACCCACAGUCAGGAGAAUAUUGGGUUCUAAAAUCAUCUGUUUCCAUUCCUUCCUGUGUGUGUUUCCCUCCUGUCUCUGAGGCGGUCCUGUGGAUGGUGCUUAAUUUAUGUCUAGAUCUCUGUUCUCCAUACCUGCUCUCAAGAGAAAGGUUUUGGACCGAGAAAAAGGCACCACUUCUCUCUGUAGAAGCUGGGUAGAGACAUCAAUCAAGAGCCAUAGACACAAAUGCUAAAGUAAUUUGAGAAUUUUCAGAGGUACUGAUACUGAUGAACUCCUGGAAACUACAUGGUGAUGGGUCAUUAAUGUUCUCAGAAUGAGAAAUACAGUGCAGUCAGUGAAAACUCCAAACCAUCAUUUCAUCUUUACAGAGAACUCUUUGACGAGACAAAGUGGUUCAUCUUCAAGUGGCACUAGUAUCUCCAUCUUCUCUUCAACUUCUCUGUGGAUUUGUCCUCUCCUCAGAAGACUGAAGCCAUGUUGGUUGGGUGUCCACAGUCUUGUACCCUGAAAUUCCAAACCUGGAAUGGAUGGAUCUCAAUUCAGUGGGAUUUGGUGUUGUGAAGUUUGUUUCUUACUUUUUUUUUUAAUUUUUAAAGAGAUUAUUUAUUUAUUUGACAGAGAAAGAGAGAGAUCACAAGCAGGCAGGCAGAGAGAGAGAAGGGGAAGCAGGCUCCCCGCUGAGCAGAGAGCCUGAUGCAGGGCUUGAUCCCAGGACCCUGAGAUCAUGACCUGAGCUGAAGGCAGAGGCUUAACCCUCUGAGCCACCCAGGUGCCCCAUGAAGUUAGUUUUCUUAAUUAACCCUAGCAUAUCCCCAGGUGGGGGACUAUGGUUCAUUUGUCAAGGGGCUAUUCAAGUCUUUUGCCCAUUUCUUAAAUUGGACAAGUUUUCCUUUAAUUGAUUCAAAGGAUAUUCAAAUGGCAAACAAUUUAUCAAGAGGUACUCAGUAGCCUCACUUAAUAACCCUAAGUAGUGAACAGACUCAGGGAAGUCAUGUUGUGGUCAACUUAACCUAUUUAAAUUAGUUACAUGACCAGCUGCAGAACCACCUCAGGGUGAGAAAGUGUAGGCUUUGUGGUUUUAGCUCAGCCAGCAAGGACUUGCAGAGACAUUGAGGGCCCAAAGCAGCCUGUCUUGCCCCACAAAUAUGAAUCAAGAAAGUAUUAAAAAAAAAAAAACUCAGCCAAUGAAAAUUAUUCAUUACAUAUACUUUAAAAAAGUUAUUUUUCAAAAUAUUUAAACUAUCUAUAAAAUUAAAAGAUAAGAUGCCUAUGAAAAUGAGAUAUAAAUAACACCUUUUUCAUGAAGCUGAAUAUCUUGAAUUUGCUUUUGGACAAUUUAACCACAUCUUAUUAAAUAUUUUGAAAAUAAAACAAUCUACAAUUCUGCCAGUUGAUGUCCACCUUGUGACCAAUGGGGAUAAAAAGCAUUAACACCCUUUGUAGUAGGCAGGAUACUAAAAUGGAUGCCAAGAUUCUGGCCCUGGAGUAUGUGUUCUCUAAAAUCUCCAUCCACUUAAUUGUGAGCAAGACCGCUAAAUAUAAUGGAGUAUCACUCCCAUGUGUAUGCUCUGAUAUAAAACAAAAGAGAUUUUACAGAUGUAAUUAAGGUCCCUAAUCAGCUGACUUUGAGUCCCUUCAAAUGGAGCAUAUACAGAGCGAGGCUGACCUAGUUAGAUGAGCUCUCAUGGAGACAAGGAGGAGCAGCAGACACUCUUCCGCUGGCUAUAAAGAAAAAAGUCACAAUAAGCCCUAUUGCCACAAUGAACUGAAUUCUGUCAAUCACCUGAAUAAGUUUAGAAGAGUUCCAGGGGUGCCUGUGUGGCUCAGUAGGCUAACUGUCUGACCAUCGAUUUUGGCUCAGGUCAUGAUCUCAGGAGUCAUGAGAUUGAAACCCGCGUCCAACUCCAAACUCAGCAGGGAGUCUUCUUGAGAUUCUCUCUCCCUCUUCUUCUGCUCCUCCCUCCCAAUACUCAUUCACUCCAGUGUUCUCUCUCUUUCUCUGUCUAAAAUAAAUAAAUAAAUAAACCUUUAAAAAAAAAAAAAAAGACCCUGAGCUCCAGAUGAGAAUUAAGCUGUAGAUGAUAUGUUGAUUUCAACCUUGUUUGACCUGGAGCAGAGGACCCAGGUGAACUCCAGCCAGAUUUAUGACCCACAGAACAGAGGUAAUAAAUGGGCAUUGUCCUGAGUCACUAACUUUGUGGAGGUUUGUAGCAGGAAGAAAAUGUAUAUAGCCUUAAUGCAUAUUAUAACAAUUGCACGUCUAAGCAUCCUGUAUUCAUAACUCGCUCACAUUUUGUGUACAAUCUUUUAAUCAUUGUACAAAGUAGGUGGUCAUCCACCUACAUUUAUUUGCCACUUCUUACCUACAGAGAGAAAUCAAUGGUUCUUAUCCGCAAAUGUGAAUAACCACCCUACUUUGCAUGUUGUUGAAAAGAUUCCAUAGAAUAUGUAGGGGAGCUAUAGGUAUGGGGCCUGGUCUGGGGAAAAUAGUCUAUAAAUGCUUCCUUUCCUUAUUGAGCCAAGACCUUGUUAAUGGCCAUAAGCAAAAUGACUCGGAACUUGUACAUACCAUUACGGUCAGUUAGCUCUCAGUUGUUUAUCGACCUGAUGUGGAGCAAGCAAACUGCUUUGGUGAUGGCUGCUGAAACCUGCAGCUGACAUGUGGUGGAACGUCAUUCAUCAUAACCCUGAACUUCUCAUUGUUGGGAGAGUGGGGGAACAAAGAGGAGAGAGGGCUUCCAUUAUCGUGCCUCAGAGUCCCUACUUGGAUGUUGUCAUAUGACCUAAGGGUGCUGUAGAAGAAAGUUCAAAAGGCUGUAAACAUAUCUUGCCAUCUCAUAUGAACUUCA